This 1209-nucleotide ribosomal RNA is filed under the name Triticum aestivum (bread wheat). RNAcentral's name for it is "partial small subunit ribosomal RNA". The record is from RNAcentral. Lineage: Eukaryota; Viridiplantae; Streptophyta; Magnoliopsida; Poales; Poaceae.
AUGGAUCCAUCUAUCAAGGAUUAUUUUGAGAAAAUCCUCUCCCGCAUGGAGGAAAUCCGAGUCGAGCUUCGCAACAGCACGGACGCCAUCAGGUCCAACAACGCCAAGCUUGACGGCAUGAAUGUCACUGCUCUGCAGCAGGAGCGCGCCCCCUCUUCGGCGCCGCUCGGUGAGGAAGGACUCGAUUCGGCUUCUUCAUCCACUACCCCAACCCCACUGGAUACUCCCGUCGCGCCCCAUAGCCGCCUCGCAGCCAUGGCGCUGACCCCAUCAUCGACCACCGACGCGAUCUUCUCUGGUGGUGACGAUAAGUUCGUCGGCUCCGCCACCCCUGCGACGACCAUCACCGCGCCUGCAGUCCUCCCCGACACCUAUUCACCAGCUGCAAUGAAGCACAAGGUCGUUGAGGUCCUCUGUGACUGGUCUCCUGACUGCAUCGUCAUCUCGCCCAGGACCUGUUCGACAGAAUGUUCGAACCAAGUCGGAGCCAAGUCGCUUCCGCCUCCACUCACGACGGCAUCACUACUCCCAAAAGCCACAUGUGCGCUCGUCGCCGACCUCGUUCAUCCUGCUACCAACGCUGUAGCUGCGAUGCAGCCAUUCCUGGACCAUGAGCUGGACGUCUUACCGCGCACAAGGCAUCAGGGGCUGCUGCUACGGCCGAUGCCGUGGCCAUCGUUUUGGAUGGAGUCUGUAGAGGGAAACGAGAAGAAUUUUUCUGGUGAUCUAAAGCCCCCGAGGGAAUCCUGGAGGUAUUUGCAAAUUGUACAGCGGAAACCAUGUCAGUCUGAGCAGGAAUGGAGUUUAUCUAUUUCAACUGAGCUACAAGGUCAUGACAUACCGGGCGUGGACCGUGAGCUCCAAACAAAGGCACGACCACUGUUCAGGUUCAGUCAAGACAAUAUUCACCUGAAGCUGUCAGGGCCAUCUGCUGCUAUUUGUGUAUUCUGUACAGUUCUCUUUGGCAAUCAAUCAAUGAUGCUACAUGACGGGUCAAUAGAAGGCAUGCAACUGUCCAAGUCUGUUGACCUCCGGGAUGCAACUCUUUCAAGCACGGAUUAUGUGAUACUGAACUUGGUCCAGUCUGGAAAACCACUUGUUGCCAACAGUCAGUUUUGGGAGUUAAUUGCAUGUUGGUACCACACUUGCGCACCUACUCACGAAUCAGUACCAUUAGUCACUUUUUUUGCCAUGCAGUGCCAAUUCUAA